AUUGAACGCUGGCGGCAGGCCUAACCCAUGCAAGUCGAGCGAGCGGCGGACGGGUGAGUAAUGUAUGGGGACUGCCCGAUAGAGGGGGAUAACUACUGGAAACCGUAGCUAAUACCGCGUAUUAUCGGCUUACCCAUAUGGGAUUAGCUAGUAGGUGAGGUAAUGGCUCACCUAGGCGACGAUCCCUAGCUGGUCUGAGAGGAUGAUCAGCCACACUGGGACUGAGACACGGCCCAGACUCCUACGGAGGCAGCAGUGGGGAAUAUUGCACAAGGGGCGAAAGCCUGAUGCAGCAAUGCCGCGUGUAUGAAGAAGGCCCUAGGGUUGUAAAGUACUUUCAGUCGGGAGGCGUUACCGACAGAAGAAGCACCGGCUAACUCCGUGCCAGCAGCCGCGGUAAUAC
This 403-nucleotide ribosomal RNA is filed under the name uncultured bacterium. Its description in RNAcentral is "partial 16S ribosomal RNA". It matches the Rfam family "Bacterial small subunit ribosomal RNA", at positions 30 to 526 of the family's 1533-position model. The record is from RNAcentral.